Molecule: ribosomal RNA, 820 nt
Filed under: Alcaligenes faecalis
Lineage: Bacteria; Pseudomonadati; Pseudomonadota; Betaproteobacteria; Burkholderiales; Alcaligenaceae
Description: bacterial SSU rRNA
Rfam family: Bacterial small subunit ribosomal RNA
Source: RNAcentral
AUUAGCUAGUUGGUGGGGUAAAGGCUCACCAAGGCAACGAUCCGUAGCUGGUUUGAGAGGACGACCAGCCACACUGGGACUGAGACACGGCCCAGACUCCUACGGGAGGCAGCAGUGGGGAAUUUUGGACAAUGGGGGAAACCCUGAUCCAGCCAUCCCGCGUGUAUGAUGAAGGCCUUCGGGUUGUAAAGUACUUUUGGCAGAGAAGAAAAGGUAUCCCCUAAUACGGGAUACUGCUGACGGUAUCUGCAGAAUAAGCACCGGCUAACUACGUGCCAGCAGCCGCGGUAAUACGUAGGGUGCAAGCGUUAAUCGGAAUUACUGGGCGUAAAGCGUGUGUAGGCGGUUCGGAAAGAAAGAUGUGAAAUCCCAGGGCUCAACCUUGGAACUGCAUUUUUAACUGCCGAGCUAGAGUAUGUCAGAGGGGGGUAGAAUUCCACGUGUAGCAGUGAAAUGCGUAGAUAUGUGGAGGAAUACCGAUGGCGAAGGCAGCCCCCUGGGAUAAUACUGACGCUCAGACACGAAAGCGUGUGGAGCAAACAGGAUUAGAUACCCUGGUAGUCCACGCCCUAAACGAUGUCAACUAGCUGUUGGGGCCGUUAGGCCUUAGUAGCGCAGCUAACGCGUGAAGUUGACCGCCUGGGGAGUACGGUCGCAAGAUUAAAACUCACAGGAAUUGACGGGGACCCGCACAAGCGGUGGAUGAUGUGGAUUAAUUCGAUGCAACGCGAAGAACCUUACCUACCCUUGACAUGUCUGGAAAGCCGAAGAGAUUUGGCCGUGCUCGCAAGAGAACCGGAACACAGGUGCUGCAUGGCUG